CGCGCAGGCGGCUGGCCAAGUCCGAUGUGAAAUCUUCCGGCUUAACUGGAAAACGGCAUCGGAUACUGGUCGGCUGGAAGGUGGGAGAGGGUAGCGGAAUUCCCGGUGUAGUGGUGAAAUGCGUAGAUAUCGGGAGGAACACCAGUGGCGAAAGCGGCUACCUGGCCCACUCUUGACGCUGAGGCGCGAAAGCUAGGGGAGCAAACGGGAUUAGAUACCCCGGUAGUCCUAGCCGUAAACGAUGAACACUAGGCGUUGUCGGUAUCGACCCCGGCAGUGCCGAAGCUAACGCAUUAAGUGUUCCGCCUGGGGAGUACGGCCGCAAGGCUAAA
This 332-nucleotide ribosomal RNA is filed under the name uncultured bacterium. RNAcentral describes it as "bacterial SSU rRNA". It matches the Rfam family "Bacterial small subunit ribosomal RNA", at positions 568 to 898 of the family's 1533-position model. The record is from RNAcentral.